CUAAACGUGCUGCUUAUGCUCUCCGUGCCCCCAAACGUAGACAGACUGGGAGACAAUGUGUUUGUUUUUGUCUUGAAUGCCAGUAGGUACCGACAGAGAGAGGAGCACAGAGCAGAACAGCCGCAGACACACUGACCACCAGCACCCAGCUCUGGAUCAUCCCUGCUGUAGAACCGCUGGGGGUCGUUAUGGACCCAUUGGAACCGUCUAUAUCAGGGACAGUGGGACAUUUUCAUGGUCAUAUUCGCUGUGCUGUUGCUCACAGAGACGCAUUUAAAGUAUUUGACUGCAAUUCUGCUCCUUUCCUGUAGAUGGCAGCCAAAGGCAAAACUUCUGCAAUUAAUGAUGACGUUCGUUCGGGAUGAGUCACUCUGUUUCAUUUCCUCAUUUUCAUUUUUAUCAUUUUGUUUCAGCAAAUAUUGCACAGAUUAAGGCCGACAUCUCAAUGUAUUGUUAAUAUUGUUCUGGAGUAAAUCAAAUGUUUAUUAAUAAACACGUCCUUAAAUUUA
Molecule: non-coding RNA, 509 nt
Organism: Paramormyrops kingsleyae
Lineage: Eukaryota; Metazoa; Chordata; Actinopteri; Osteoglossiformes; Mormyridae
Source: RefSeq, a predicted model, not a curated record